RNAcentral lists this long non-coding RNA (604 nucleotides) under Dasypus novemcinctus (nine-banded armadillo). RNAcentral describes it as "lncRNA (ENSDNOG00000052194.1)". Lineage: Eukaryota; Metazoa; Chordata; Mammalia; Cingulata; Dasypodidae. The record is from RNAcentral.
GUUCGCUGCCCCUUCGUGUUCCUGCUCUCAACCUUGCUCCCAGCAGCAAGGCCAGCGCGCCCGACCUACUGGAAAGUUGCUGCCGAGCUGUGGAGGGGCGUCAUCGCCUCCUAGCAACGCUCCUAGCAACGGGGUAACAUCUGCUCCCUCUGGUCCAAUGCGAGUCGAGAACAGCUGCGCGCCCGCCUCGCGUUCGGAACUCCGAGUGUGAGGCGCUCCAGAGACAGGAGGGACGGACCUGCAGGAGCCAGGGCUGCCCGCUGAGCUGCAGUUGCCUUUGCUGCCGCUGUCGCUCGGCUGCCGCGAUCGCUGUCGCUGUCAGCGCGGGUCUGAAGAGUGACAGCGCUGCAUAAGAAGGAGCGAGCCCGGAACCCCGCGCCUUUGCCAAACAGGUGCAUGCGCCCAUCGCCUGGAGAGGGAAUCCUGCUCGCAAGAUCUCAGGUAACCGUUCAUGAGCCUGAGGCUAUAAGAAAUGCUCGCUGUGCAAAGGGGGACUCCGAACAGAUUUUCUGAAGCUGUCCUAGAAAUACACUUUUCAGAUUGAUUCAGCAUUACCAGGUAAUAAUUAGCUUAAAAGAAACUGCUGUUUAAAUAUACAUCCAGA